This 461-nucleotide ribosomal RNA is filed under the name uncultured bacterium. Its description in RNAcentral is "bacterial SSU rRNA". It matches the Rfam family "Bacterial small subunit ribosomal RNA", at positions 29 to 524 of the family's 1533-position model. The record is from RNAcentral.
AACGAACGUUGGCGGCGUGGAUUAGGCAUGCAAGUCGAGGGAAUCCCAGCAAUGGGGGAACCGGCGUAAGGGGCAGUAAGGCAUGGGUACCUACCCCGGGGUUCGGGAUAGCCAUCAGAGAUGGUGGGUAAUACCGGAUGACCUCGUGAGAGCAAAGAUUCAUCGCCCUGGGAGGGGCCCAUGUGAUAUUAGCUAGUUGGUGAGGUAACGGCUCACCAAGGCGAAGAUGUCUAGCGGGUAUGAGAGUACGACCCGCGCCACUCGCACUGAGACACUGGCGAGACACCUACGGGUGGCUGCAGUCGAGGAUCUUCGGCAAUGGGCGAAAGCCUGACCGAGCGACGCCGCGUGCGCGAUGAAGGCCUUCGGGUUGUAAAGCGCUUUAGUGGGGGAGAAAAGGGAAACCUUGAUCUAUCCCAAAAAUAAGCUCGGGCUAAGUUCGUGCCAGCAGCCGCGGUAAA